RNAcentral lists this ribosomal RNA (439 nucleotides) under uncultured bacterium. RNAcentral's name for it is "bacterial SSU rRNA". It matches the Rfam family "Bacterial small subunit ribosomal RNA", at positions 959 to 1397 of the family's 1533-position model. The record is from RNAcentral.
ACGCGUGGAACCUUACCAGGUCUUGACAUCCUCUGACACUCCUAGAGAUAGGACGUUCCCCUUCGGGGGACAGAGUGACAGGUGGUGCAUGGUUGUCGUCAGCUCGUGUCGUGAGAUGUUGGGUUAAGUCCCGCAACGAGCGCAACCCUUGAUCUUAGUUGCCAGCAUUUAGUUGGGCACUCUAAGGUGACUGCCGGUGACAAACCGGAGGAAGGUGGGGAUGACGUCAAAUCAUCAUGCCCCUUAUGACCUGGGCUACACACGUGCUACAAUGGAUGGUACAAAGGGCAGCAAAGCGGUGACGCCUAGCAAAUCCCAUAAAACCAUUCUCAGUUCGGAUUGUAGGCUGCAACUCGCCUACAUGAAGCUGGAAUCGCUAGUAAUCGCGGAUCAGCAUGCCGCGGUGAAUACGUUCCCGGGCCUUGCACUCACCGCCCGU